GUUGGUGAACCAGCGGAGGGAUCAUUAUAGAGUCUAAAAACUCCCAACCCAUGUGGAUAUACCUAUUGUUGCCUCGGCAGGUUCCGUCCCGCGCGGCUCGUCCCGCGGAGCGGUAUAAGCCUGCCAGUAGGCCCCAAAACUCUGUUUUAUUUUUGAAACUCUGAAUCUAUAACUAAAUAAGUUAAAACUUUCAACAACGGAUCUCUUGGUUCUGGCAUCGAUGAAGAACGCAGCAUCUGACUGACUCGAC
RNAcentral lists this unclassified non-coding RNA (250 nucleotides) under plant metagenome. RNAcentral's name for it is "partial contains small subunit ribosomal RNA, internal transcribed spacer 1, and 5.8S ribosomal RNA". The record is from RNAcentral.